CCAGAGUUUCUGCAGCAGUAGCACAAGCACAGACCGGUGGGAUCACGUCAUCAUGCAGACCUGGGAUGACCAGCUGUGGGUCCUGAACUUUUGCAUGAAGGCGGCCACAUUUCUGGAGUUUGUAGGCA
Non-coding RNA from Chelonoidis abingdonii (Abingdon island giant tortoise), 128 nucleotides. The record is from RefSeq and is a predicted model, not a curated record. NCBI's taxonomy places the organism in Eukaryota, Metazoa, Chordata, Testudines, Testudinidae.